UACGUAGGGUGCGAGCGUUAAUCGGAAUUACUGGGCGUAAAGCGUGCGCAGGCGGCGCGUUAAGACAGGUGUGAAAGCCCCGAGCUUAACUUGGGAAUUGCGCUUGUGACUGGCGUGCUGGAGUGUGGCAGAGGGAGGUGGAAUUCCACGUGUAGCAGUGAAAUGCGUAGAGAUGUGGAGGAACACCGAUGGCGGAAGGGCAGCCCUCCUGGGCCAGCACUGACGCUCAGUGCACGAAAGCGUGG
RNAcentral lists this ribosomal RNA (245 nucleotides) under uncultured bacterium. RNAcentral's name for it is "partial 16S ribosomal RNA". It matches the Rfam family "Bacterial small subunit ribosomal RNA", at positions 524 to 764 of the family's 1533-position model. The record is from RNAcentral.